AGAGUUUGAUCAUGGCUCAGAGCGAACGCUGGCGGCGUGCUUAACACAUGCAAGUCGAACGUGAAAGGGAGCAAUCCUGAGUAAAGUGGCGUACGGGUGAGUAACGCGUAGGUAAUCUACCCUAAAAUCUGGAAUAACCUGACGAAAGUCGGGCUAAUACUGGAUAGAGCGACGGAAUCCGUAAUUGGGUUUUUCGGGAAAGGGAGCUCGCAAGAGCCUUCGUUUUAGGAUGAGCCUGCGUCCCAUUAGCUAGUUGGCGAGGUAAAAGCUCACCAAGGCAUUGAUGGGUAGCUGGUCUGAGAGGAUGAUCAGCCACACUGGAACUGAAACACGGUCCAGACUCCUACGGGAGGCAGCAGUGGGGAAUCUUGCGCAAUGGACGAAAGUCUGACGCAGCAACGCCGCGUGAGUGAAGAAGGCCUUAGGGUUGUAAAGCUCUGUCGCCCGGGACGAAAAUAUUUGGAGUUAAUAGCUUCAGAUACUGACGGUACCGGGAGAGGAAGCACCGGCUAACUCCGUGCCAGCAGCCGCGGUA
This 535-nucleotide ribosomal RNA is filed under the name uncultured Pseudomonadota bacterium. RNAcentral's name for it is "bacterial SSU rRNA". It matches the Rfam family "Bacterial small subunit ribosomal RNA", at positions 8 to 522 of the family's 1533-position model. The record is from RNAcentral. Lineage: Bacteria; Pseudomonadati; Pseudomonadota.